CCCUUAGAUGCUCUGGGCCGCACGCGCGCUACACUGGUCGAUGCAACGAGUUUCUUUCCUUGGCCGACAGGCCUGGGCAAUCUUUGAACAUCGAUCGUGAUCGGGAUAGAUUCUUGUAAUUUUUGAUCUUAAACGAGGAAUUCCUAGUAAACGCAAGUCAUCAGCUUGCAUUGAUUACGUCCCUGCCCUUUGUACACACCGCCCGUCGCACCUACUGAUUGGAUGACUCGGUGAAAAAUUGGGACUGUGAAGAACACUGCUUAAUUGCGGCGUUUUUUAUGGGAACUUUUUUAAACCUCGUUAUCUAGAAGAAGGUGAAGUCGUAACA
Molecule: ribosomal RNA, 328 nt
Filed under: uncultured eukaryote
Lineage: Eukaryota
Description: partial 18S ribosomal RNA
Rfam family: Eukaryotic small subunit ribosomal RNA
Source: RNAcentral